Molecule: ribosomal RNA, 485 nt
Filed under: uncultured bacterium
Lineage: Bacteria
Description: bacterial SSU rRNA
Rfam family: Bacterial small subunit ribosomal RNA
Source: RNAcentral
AUUGAACGCUGGCGGCAGGCCUAACACAUGCAAGUCGAGCGGUAGAGAGAAGCUUGCUUCUCUUGAGAGCGGCGGACGGGUGAGUAAUGCCUAGGAAUCUGCCUGGUAGUGGGGGAUAACGUUCGGAAACGGACGCUAAUACCACAUACGUCCUACGGGAGAAAGCAGGGGACCUUCGGGCCUUGCGCUAUCAGAUGAGCCUAGGUCGGAUUAGCUAGUUGGUGAGGUAAUGGCUCACCAAGGCGACGAUCCGUAACUGGUCUGAGAGGAUGAUCAGUCACACUGGAACUGAGACACGGUCCAGACUCCUACGGGAGGCAGCAGUGGGGAAUAUUGGACAAUGGGCGAAAGCCUGAUCCAGCCAUGCCGCGUGUGUGAAGAUGGUCUUCGGAUUGUAAAGCACUUUAAGUUGGGAGGAAGGGCAUUAACCUAAUACGUUAGUGUUUUGACGUUACCGACAGAAUAAGCACCGGCUAACUCUGUGC